GAGGGUAGGUCCCUCGGGGUCGGCUUGCAGGAGCAGGCACCAAACCACCUUAAGCUGCUGCGGUUAAGAGUCGUGGUGGUGAGCGUUAAGGAAAAGGCACGGCAAGACCGGGUCAGGU
Molecule: non-coding RNA, 118 nt
Filed under: Desulfopila aestuarii DSM 18488
Lineage: Bacteria; Pseudomonadati; Thermodesulfobacteriota; Desulfobulbia; Desulfobulbales; Desulfocapsaceae
Source: RNAcentral